RNAcentral lists this ribosomal RNA (1527 nucleotides) under Klebsiella pneumoniae. RNAcentral's name for it is "bacterial SSU rRNA". It matches the Rfam family "Bacterial small subunit ribosomal RNA". Lineage: Bacteria; Pseudomonadati; Pseudomonadota; Gammaproteobacteria; Enterobacterales; Enterobacteriaceae. The record is from RNAcentral.
AGAGUUUGAUCAUGGCUCAGAUUGAACGCUGGCGGCAGGCCUAACACAUGCAAGUCGAGCGGUAGCACAGAGAGCUUGCUCUCGGGUGACGAGCGGCGGACGGGUGAGUAAUGUCUGGGAAACUGCCUGAUGGAGGGGGAUAACUACUGGAAACGGUAGCUAAUACCGCAUAACGUCGCAAGACCAAAGUGGGGGACCUUCGGGCCUCAUGCCAUCAGAUGUGCCCAGAUGGGAUUAGCUAGUAGGUGGGGUAACGGCUCACCUAGGCGACGAUCCCUAGCUGGUCUGAGAGGAUGACCAGCCACACUGGAACUGAGACACGGUCCAGACUCCUACGGGAGGCAGCAGUGGGGAAUAUUGCACAAUGGGCGCAAGCCUGAUGCAGCCAUGCCGCGUGUGUGAAGAAGGCCUUCGGGUUGUAAAGCACUUUCAGCGGGGAGGAAGGCGAUAAGGUUAAUAACCUCAUCGAUUGACGUUACCCGCAGAAGAAGCACCGGCUAACUCCGUGCCAGCAGCCGCGGUAAUACGGAGGGUGCAAGCGUUAAUCGGAAUUACUGGGCGUAAAGCGCACGCAGGCGGUCUGUCAAGUCGGAUGUGAAAUCCCCGGGCUCAACCUGGGAACUGCAUUCGAAACUGGCAGGCUAGAGUCUUGUAGAGGGGGGUAGAAUUCCAGGUGUAGCGGUGAAAUGCGUAGAGAUCUGGAGGAAUACCGGUGGCGAAGGCGGCCCCCUGGACAAAGACUGACGCUCAGGUGCGAAAGCGUGGGGAGCAAACAGGAUUAGAUACCCUGGUAGUCCACGCCGUAAACGAUGUCGAUUUGGAGGUUGUGCCCUUGAGGCGUGGCUUCCGGAGCUAACGCGUUAAAUCGACCGCCUGGGGAGUACGGCCGCAAGGUUAAAACUCAAAUGAAUUGACGGGGGCCCGCACAAGCGGUGGAGCAUGUGGUUUAAUUCGAUGCAACGCGAAGAACCUUACCUGGUCUUGACAUCCACAGAACUUUCCAGAGAUGGAUUGGUGCCUUCGGGAACUGUGAGACAGGUGCUGCAUGGCUGUCGUCAGCUCGUGUUGUGAAAUGUUGGGUUAAGUCCCGCAACGAGCGCAACCCUUAUCCUUUGUUGCCAGCGGUCCGGCCGGGAACUCAAAGGAGACUGCCAGUGAUAAACUGGAGGAAGGUGGGGAUGACGUCAAGUCAUCAUGGCCCUUACGACCAGGGCUACACACGUGCUACAAUGGCAUAUACAAAGAGAAGCGACCUCGCGAGAGCAAGCGGACCUCAUAAAGUAUGUCGUAGUCCGGAUUGGAGUCUGCAACUCGACUCCAUGAAGUCGGAAUCGCUAGUAAUCGUAGAUCAGAAUGCUACGGUGAAUACGUUCCCGGCCUUGUACACACCGCCCGUCACACCAUGGGAGUGGGUUGCAAAAGAAGUAGGUAGCUUAACCUUCGGGAGGGCGCUUACCACUUUGUGAUUCAUGACUGGGGUGAAGUCGUAACAAGGUAACCGUAGGGGAACCUGCGGUUGGAUCACCU